RNAcentral lists this ribosomal RNA (573 nucleotides) under Triticum aestivum (bread wheat). RNAcentral's name for it is "partial small subunit ribosomal RNA". Lineage: Eukaryota; Viridiplantae; Streptophyta; Magnoliopsida; Poales; Poaceae. The record is from RNAcentral.
AUGGUGAUCUUUGCGGGCCUAUCUCGCCGCCCACUCCGGGCGGCAAGCGUUACUUCCUGUUGCUUGUGGAUGAUCACAACAGAUUCAUGUGGUUGUACCUGCUCCGGAGCAAGGACGAGGCAGCCAAGGCGAUCCAGCGCUUCCAGGCACACGCAGAGUGCGAGACGGGGCGGAAGCUGCGCACUUUCCGCUCUGACCGAGGCGGGGAGUUCAACUCCGGCGAGUUCAGCGCACAUCUCGCUGAUCUUGGGGUCCAGAGGCGCCUCACCGCGCCACACUCUCCCCAACAGAAUGGCGUGGUGGAGAGGCGCAACCAAACCGUCAUCGGGACGGCUCGAUGCAUGCUCAAGGCGAUGGGAGUGCCGCCGCAAUUUUGGGGCGAGGCCGUGUCCACGGCCGCAUUCGUGCUCAAUAGGGCAUACUCCAGAAGCGUACCAGGCAAGACGCCGUUCGAGGCCUGGCAUGGCAGGAAGCCCUCCGUCGACUUCUUGCGUGUGUUCGGAAGUGUGGCGCACGUCAAGAACACGCGCCCACACCUCUCCAAGCUUGAGGACUGGAGCAAAGCCAUGGUGA